CUCACAAUUGACUCAAAAUAAUU
RNAcentral lists this small nuclear RNA (23 nucleotides) under Arabidopsis thaliana (thale cress). RNAcentral's name for it is "snRNA_03989". The record is from RNAcentral. Lineage: Eukaryota; Viridiplantae; Streptophyta; Magnoliopsida; Brassicales; Brassicaceae.